RNAcentral lists this unclassified non-coding RNA (170 nucleotides) under Colletotrichum gloeosporioides. RNAcentral describes it as "internal transcribed 1". The record is from RNAcentral. Lineage: Eukaryota; Fungi; Ascomycota; Sordariomycetes; Glomerellales; Glomerellaceae.
AUGCGAGAUAUUGGGAAACACUUGUAUGGAUAUUGACAACGAAGCCGCCCAUCCCAGAGGCGCUGGGAGGGCCGGAGGGCGGAGGCCCGCCCAGCCGCGGGCGGCCUCCUAUUGGUUUGAGACUAAAUUGCUGCAAAGAAGACUCACCAUGUUCGUUUAUUAGUUUUGAA